GUGAGAUUUGAACCCUUUGAAUGUCAACAAUGUUUUCUGUGUUUUACCGUUGAGACCUUGAGACCCCUAGAAGUGACGUGAUAAUCAGCCGUGUUUUAGGGGAAAUAUCAUGUGACGUUCCCGUUCUCCUGACCGACAACCAGACAGGAAGGAGAACCUCUGCUCGCCAGGCAGAGAGCGCGUCGAGGCCCUCAGCCUGGAGACAGUGUUCAUGCUGCAGGGACAAGCAGGGGCCGACUCUAAAGAGAAAGCGCCGGCCCUCUGCUGCUCCCGGAGACCUUCACCAGAAGAGGAAGCGCACCUCCGGAGCCCGUCCCCUCCCUGACCAUCCAGAGGUGUUGGACUGUGUCCCCGCUGUGCAGCCCUCCCCAGCUGGUGACCAUUCAGGGUCUUUGGUGGAGAAGCCUAGAGCCACCAUCCCACCUGCUGACCUGCCCCGAGUCUCCUGUGUGGCCCCCAGCCUCCAGCCCUCCACUGCUCCACUGCACGACGGGCCUC
Long non-coding RNA from Gasterosteus aculeatus aculeatus (three-spined stickleback), 498 nucleotides. The record is from Ensembl. NCBI's taxonomy places the organism in Eukaryota, Metazoa, Chordata, Actinopteri, Perciformes, Gasterosteidae.